GGAGAGUUGGCAGAGUGGUUGAAUGCGGCGGUCUUGAAAACCGUUAUAGGUGCAAGCCUAUCCGGGGUUCGAAUCCCUGACUCUCCG
This 87-nucleotide transfer RNA is filed under the name Melioribacteraceae bacterium. Its description in RNAcentral is "tRNA-Ser". It matches the Rfam family "tRNA". From Rfam's summary of the family: Transfer RNA (tRNA) molecules are approximately 80 nucleotides in length. The record is from RNAcentral. Lineage: Bacteria; Pseudomonadati; Ignavibacteriota; Ignavibacteria; Ignavibacteriales; Melioribacteraceae.